RNA transcript from Adelges cooleyi (spruce gall adelgid), 3350 nucleotides. RefSeq lists it as uncharacterized. The record is from RefSeq and is a predicted model, not a curated record. The transcript has 8 exons. NCBI's taxonomy places the organism in Eukaryota, Metazoa, Arthropoda, Insecta, Hemiptera, Adelgidae.
GAGUAUUGCACACAAUUUAAGACAAUGUGACGUGUGGAGGGUCUCAAAUCUAGCUAUAAAAAAGCAACCCGAGCAUUAACAGUAUUAAUGGGCUUUUGAGUUUCAACGCGUUAAGUCUAUUAAAAGCAAAAAAGUAUUUACGAUGAAAUCAAACACGAGUCUUGUGCUACUUGCAGUGUAUUUUUUCGGUCUUAUUAUUUCAUUAGAUGCUGUUGGUCUUCGUAACUUGGGGAGAUUCGUCUUUGGUCGUCAUGAUCGUCACAAUUUCGUGCCUCAAUCUGUAGUAAACCUUAAAAGAAAUAUUUCUGAUUUUGGUUUAGAAUUAGGUUUAACGGAACCGUAUUUAAUAGAAGAAAGUGCCGAUUUAGACGAAUUGCCAUAUUAUGUGGCAGCCGGUCUAAAUGCAAUAGACUUAUUUAAAAAUACCGGUGCUGAAGCGGGUCGUACAUUUUUAUUCAGAUCAUUAGAAUUAAAAACUAUCGAUAAUCCAGAACUGUACACGGAACAGGUGAUAAGGGAGCGUUUUGGUGGAGAUCCGAAUAACAUAAUAGAAAGUAUAAAUUCCGUCGUUGACUUAUUCGUAAUAGACGUGGAAAGCGAAUUAGCGGAAUCAUAAAUUCAAAAUAAAUUUUCAAAUUAAAUUUUAAAAAAUGCUGAUUUGUAAGUCGUAUAAUUUUUAUUCCUUUGGUUGAAUUUCUAAUGUGUAUUUUACUAAUAAACACUAUAUUUUAAAAUAUUGAAUUAAUUUACACUGCAAAAUACAGGUAAACAGAUUAUAAUGAUUCUUUAUGUAUUAACAUGAAUGUAUUAAAUAUUUCUAAAAACAAUUAGUUUUACAUGGUUGUCCGACCGUUCUAAUAUGCUACCUUGCUUGUAUGUUACAUUUAUUAUUAUUUAUUUAUUAAAUAAUAUGUAAUAAUCAAUUCGUUUUUAUUAGUGCGUUUCAUUUUAUUAAUAUUUAAAUAAAAAAGGUCACACCUAUCAACAGUCUAAUAUAUUCAGGUCCUAAAUUCUAAUAUUACUUUGGAGUCAUAUUUUUGGAGAAAAUCAAAAUUUAAUUUAUUUUAUAUUCAAUAUUGUCAACAGAAAUGAUUUAAAAAUAUUUCUUUAAAAUUAUAUUACAAUUAUUAUUUAGAAAUUAUUAUUAAAAUGUUUUAAGGGGGCUCCAUACAGACCAUUUUUAAGGAGUUUUGUAUAGGCAAUAUUUAAGAAAAAAUUGGUUUAAAUAAAUUUCGACCAUGUCAAUAAAUUUACCGGUUAAUUUGUAUAAGCUUCAAGGUAUUAUUUUUAAUUUAAAUCAUUUUAUCUAUGAGUAAAAGCCAUUUUAGUUAAUACAACACACAUUUUUUGUUCCAUCGCACAGGCUCAACCAGUCAUCCGAUAAGUAAUAUGAAAACAGAUUUGAAUUCGUCAUGGAAUUUACUUGAGAUCGGUCGACGUACUUUUUUGAUAUCUUAUUCUUACUAUUUAUAAAACACGUUUGAACAUUUUAUACGAUUUCAACAUUUUAAAAUAAAAUUUAGAAAGGGUUAAAAUUAAAAAUUGAAAAAAGUACCUCGACCGAUCCUAAAUAAACUUCAUGAAAAAUUCAAAUCUGUUUUUAGAUUGCUUAUAGAAUUACUGGUUAGGCCUGUACGAUUGAAUGAAAAUGAUGUGUUUUGACUGAAAAAAUAGUCUGUAUGGAGCCCCCUUAAUCCUGUAUUGUUUUUUUGUGGUAUUACGGUAAAAACUAAAAAUGUUGAUCGUUUUUAUUAAAGUCAAAACAUUUUUUUUUUCAAUUAUUCUACUUUUAACAUUGACUUGCAAUUACUUCGGGAAAAAUAGUUUAAUCUUGUCGAAAUUGAUACCAAACAUUUAAUAAGGAAUUUUAAUUUGAAAUAUUAUAAAGUGAUAUUGAGCGUUUGCGCAAAAACCAAAAUUUCAACGCGAUAAUUUUACAAACUGAAAAUAACACUGUAAAGACAUUAUUUUUUCAAAAAAAUAGCAGAAAUUCUAAUGCUGACUAAUUCGUCCAUCAUUUUGACGUCGCGUUGGUACAAUAUAUGUACAAAUACGAAUUUAGUAUUCGUUUUUAGAUGUCGAAGGCAGCAGUUUAAAAAAAAAUUCUAACAUAACCCGAGCAUUAACCGUAUUCAUUUACUAUUGAGUUUCUGUGCGUUAAGUAUAUUAAACAUAAAAAAGUAUUUACGAUGAAAUCAAACAUCAAUCUUGUGUUGUUUGCAGUGUAUUUUUUCGGUCUUCAUAUUUCUGGCAUACGUUCCGGUAUAGAAUUCGUGCCUCAAUCUAUACUAAACCUUCACAAACAUUUUUAUUUGUCUACUUUAGUAAAGUGUUUAAGAACAGAGCUUAUGACAAACGAGGAAUAUUUAGAUAAUUUAAAAUCAGAGUUGGCUGAAGCGGCUCAUACCGCAAGAAUUACAAUACAAGCUGGAGAUAUUGAAGGGGGACGUGUAUCUUUAUACAGUUCAAUAAAAGAAAAAAUUAUCGAUGACCCAGAACUUUGCACAGAACAGGCGGCGAACGAUUUGUUUGCAGGAGGUCUCGAAGAGGUUAAAAGACAUAUACGUUUUAUCGUCAACUUGUUUGUACAAGACGUGAGAGGUGGAUUAUGAAUCAUAGAUUUGAUAUUAAUCUUUAAACGAAACAUUCUGUUGAAUUGAUAAUUAUACUAAUUUUAGUUUCAUUUGUUUGCAAAAAUUAUUUAUUUUUAAACUAUAUAAUUAAAAUUGUAGUUAAUAGUUUAAUUUGUUACGUGUUAUCCUAUACUCUAUAAUUAUUUAUCAAUGGCGAUACUCCCUAUUUGACAUUUGCAUCUGGGAUUUAAAAAUUGUUUUUUAUACAUGGUUUUAUGGGAGAAUUAGUACAAUAUUCAUAUCCUACAAAUCGCACUCUCCAGCAUUAAAGUAUCUCUGUUGUAUUAAUAUACAUUAAAUAAAAAAAAAGGCCACCUAAUACUAAGAAUAUCUUCGUUUGAUGUUAUCAUUAUUGAAUUAUUCAACCAAAAUAAGCAUUUAUUACCUUUUGCAGUUUUUAGAUUAUGUUUGUUUUUUCCUUUUAAAAAUACAUUAUUAAUGUAAACAAAAAGUUAGUUAUUUUAGAUAUUUUGCUGAAAAAUUAUUUUAGAAAUUGUAAUGUGACUUAAAAUUAUACAUUCACAUAUCAACAAAUUGACGAAUAUUGUGAAUAUACAGGAUAAUAGUGCAAUAGCCAUAAGCAAAGAUGAUGUGUCGUUAAAAAUCUAUCAAAAAACUUGAAAUUUUCGAUUUUUUUUUAAAUAUUUUGUUCUCUGGGUUGCGGGAACAUAUGGAUGGGUCGAAAAAGUCAUUAUGGUUAUUGGGUGAUAUGCUGUU